Molecule: ribosomal RNA, 162 nt
Filed under: uncultured bacterium
Lineage: Bacteria
Description: partial 16S ribosomal RNA
Rfam family: Bacterial small subunit ribosomal RNA
Source: RNAcentral
UUCGCUAGUAAUCGCGCAUCAGCCAUGGCGCGGUGAAUACGUUCCCGGGCCUUGUACACACCGCCCGUCAAGCCAUGGGAGCCGGGGGCGCCUGAAGUCCGGGACCGCGAGGACCGGCCUAGGGCGAAACUGGUAACUGGGGCUAAGUCGUAACAAGGUAUC